GGUGUUGUAGUUCAGAGGUAGAGUUCUUGCCUCGCACGCAUGAGGCCCUGAGUUUGAUCCUCAGCACCACUU
RNAcentral lists this transfer RNA (72 nucleotides) under Ictidomys tridecemlineatus (thirteen-lined ground squirrel). RNAcentral's name for it is "Spermophilus tridecemlineatus (thirteen-lined ground squirrel) tRNA". It matches the Rfam family "tRNA". From Rfam's summary of the family: Transfer RNA (tRNA) molecules are approximately 80 nucleotides in length. The record is from Rfam by way of RNAcentral. Lineage: Eukaryota; Metazoa; Chordata; Mammalia; Rodentia; Sciuridae.